Molecule: ribosomal RNA, 502 nt
Filed under: uncultured bacterium
Lineage: Bacteria
Description: bacterial SSU rRNA
Rfam family: Bacterial small subunit ribosomal RNA
Source: RNAcentral
GAUGAACGCUAGCGGCAGGCCUAAUACAUGCAAGACGAACGGUAAGUUGAGUAGCAAUACUUAGCCAAGAGUGUCGUACGGGUGCGUAACACGUAUGCAACCUACCCUAUACAGGAGGAUAGCCUAGGGAAACCUGGAUUAACCCUUCAUAGUAUUAUUGGAUGGCAUCAUUUGAUAAUUAAAACUGAGGUGGUAUAGGAUGGGCAUGCGUCUGAUUAGUUAGUUGGCGGGGUAAUGGCCCACCAAGACGAUGAUCAGUAGGGGUUCUGAGAGGAAGAUCCCCCACACUGGCACUGAGAUACGGGCCAGACUCCUACGGGAGGCAGCAGUAGGGAAUAUUGGUCAAUGGAUGCAAGUCUGAACCAGCCAUGCCGCGUGCAGGAAGAAGGCCUUCUGGGUUGUAAACUGCUUUUGCCAGGGGGAUAAAAAUUUCCAUGCGUGGAAAACUGAAGGUACCUGGUGAAUAAGCCACGGCUAACUACGUGCCAGCAGCCGCGGUAAU